GACGAACGCUGGCGGCGUGCUUAACACAUGCAAGUCGAACGAAGUGGCGAACGGGUGAGUAACGCGUAAUCAACCUGCCCUUCAGAGGGGGACAACAGUUGGAAACGACUGCUAAUACCGCAUACUGAAGGAGGGGAUUGCGUUUGAUUAGCUAGUUGGAGGGGUAACGGCCCACCAAGGCGAAGGUCAGUAGGCGUGCUUGGGGGGAUAACGGCCACAAUUGGACUGAGACACGGCCCAGACUCCUACGGGAGGCAGCAGUGGGGAAUCUUCCGCAAUGGAGGAAAGUCUGACGGAGGCACGCCGCGUGAGUGAUGGCGGCCUUCGGGUUGUAAAGCUCUGUUAAUCGGGACGCGGUACCGGAAUAGAAAGCCACGGCUAACUACGUGCCAGCAGCCGCGGUAAUUC
This 408-nucleotide ribosomal RNA is filed under the name uncultured bacterium. RNAcentral describes it as "partial 16S ribosomal RNA". It matches the Rfam family "Bacterial small subunit ribosomal RNA", at positions 28 to 526 of the family's 1533-position model. The record is from RNAcentral.